This 1956-nucleotide long non-coding RNA is filed under the name Xyrichtys novacula (pearly razorfish). Lineage: Eukaryota; Metazoa; Chordata; Actinopteri; Labriformes; Labridae. The record is from RNAcentral.
GUUUCUGCAGGACCUUGAAGUGAGUCGAACGCUCCUUCAGGUUCAUGUUUAUUUACAUCAGAAGGUCCAUUAACCCUUUCACUCCCAGAUUCAUGUUUUCAUGUUUCACCUCGAUCCUUUUAAGAACGGCAGAUAAAAACACGUCUUUGUUUUCAGGACAACCUCAGCUUCAGUUUAUGGAGCAAAGAGGAAGUAAAAUAAAAGAGACAGAAGAUUCAGAACCAACAAAGUCAACGAGAAACAAAAACGGACCUGAACACCAACAGAACUUUACACAGAAACACGCAGAAAUACAGAGUUUCUGACGUCUUUCUAAAGUGGUUUGAACGUCUUUUUAACACGUUUUUAUCGUGUUUUUAACCUGUUUUUUUUACGUGUUUCUAUCCUGGUUUUGACCUUGAUUUACAGUUUGGACGGCGAGGGGAAGUUACCCCGCUGCAAUAAAAGCUUUUAAUUGUGGGUUUGAUGAAGUUUGAGUCUGAUCCUCCUCCUCCUCCUGAACAGAGAUCUCAGUUUUAGUGAUCCGGUCUCUGAGGGUCGGACCAGGUCUCUGAGGGUCAGACCGGGUCUCUGAGGGUCAGACCAGGUCUCUGAGGGUUGGACCAGGUCUCUGAGGGUCAGACCGGGUCUGCACUGACUCUGAAGAGUCCUCUCUCACUUUGGAGGAGUAGACAUCUCCUCUGCAGAGAAGAUACUUUGAUGAGUUUAUGAAACACGUGGGCUGAGCCGAUCAGCUGAUCUGCUAAAUUUGGACACCCCCCCCCGUGGCGGCGUGGCUGGAACACGUGUUGGUAUUUUGACCCACUCAGUUGUGGAGGUACAUUAAAUCCGCUGCCAAAAAAGCUCUGGACGCCGCGGCGCAGCAGAGCUGCAGCUCGCGGUGCGUGCUGAGGCGGAGGGUGACCUUUGAACCCGCCUCCAACCAAGAACACAAGUCGGUGGAUUUGUGUCCGGAGAGCGUUCAGGUCAAGAUCCAGAGUCAGCCGCGGAGGAAUUCAGGAGGGAGAGGAUUUUUAUAACCCGGUUCUGGAGGAGGCACAAACCGGGCAGAACACAGAGUCCAGGACCAGCUGUCCCCCCCGACCCAAACCCGAGUCCUUUUGGAUCAGGACCUGAUUCCACUGAUUCCUCUGAGUUUACCGAGUUUUACUGAAUUUACUGGAUUUUAUUUUUACUGAGUUCAAGUUCGUUUUGUUUGUAAUUUUAACUCGUUUUUUCAUCUAAAUAUCAAACGAAGUAAAAAACUGUUAAAGUCGCCGAAGAAGGAGAGACAGACGACGGGAUCUUCUGACGGGUUUCUAACAUGUCUCUGACCGGGUUUUUUUUUGUGUUUCUUUUUUUUUUUUACAUUUCUUACAUAUUUCAUGGUUUUUAUAUGUGUUUUUUUUUUGGCGUGUUUUUUUUUGGCGUGUUUUUUUUGGCGUGUUUUUUUUUUGGCGUGUUUUUUUUGGCGUGUUUUCUUGGCGUGUUUUUUGGCGUGUUUUCUUGGCGUGUUUUUUUUGGCGUGUUUUCUUGGCGUGUUUUUUUUGGCGUGUUUUUUUUGGCGUGUUUUUUUUGGCGUGUUUUUUUUGGCGUGUUUUCUUGGCGUGUUUUUUGGCGUGUUUUCUUGGCGUGUUUUUUUUGGCGUGUUUUUUUUUGGCGUGUUUUUUUUGGCGUGUUUUUUGGCGUGUUUUUUUCGGCGUGUUUCUUCCCCUUUUGUUUUUAUGUCAUGUGUUCGUUCUCCACACAGCCCACCACAUAAAGACCGCCUCCGCCCGUGGACUCUGCCGGGGCCGACAGAUGGCGGCAGGUGAGCCGUGGUUGUCCCCGCUCGCCGCCGUCUCUGUAAAGGACAGAUUUACUGCGGCAUCAUGGGAGAAAGCAGCCGACAACAUCUGGAGGCGCGUGACACGAGGCGCGGCGGCGGUGACCUAAUUUAAAGGCCGUAAAAGUGUUCGGAGGAACCCGAAGAGAGAG